GUGAAAUGUGAAUGUUGGCCUUG
RNAcentral lists this non-coding RNA (23 nucleotides) under Rattus norvegicus (Norway rat). The record is from RNAcentral. Lineage: Eukaryota; Metazoa; Chordata; Mammalia; Rodentia; Muridae.